UAAGCUAGACUCUACAUCUGUGUAGAGGUGACUGCCGUAUGCCUCCCUGUUCACGAUGAGCACCAGGAUGCAGAUCACCAGAGGAAUCCCUGGAGGGACAGUUUAAAUGUUUUUAAAGCAUGUGUUACAGCCUUGGAAAUAAUAAUGACGACAGCUAACUUUUUCAUCUCAAUGUUUCAGUCAUCAGCACUGUCCUAUUAAAAGGCAGUCAGCCGAACACACGACUCACCCCAUCCCAGAGCACAGAACUUGAGGAUGUAAAUGAUGCCAGGAGGAAAUAAUGCAGCGUGGAUGCUACAGCCACACAGAGGCCAUAUAGACCCCAAGAGGACAGCCAGGAGUUUACCAGAAACACCAGGUUUAAACCCAGCAGCGCCAAGGAGAGGUUGAUGAGUAUCUGAGAGGGGUAGUCUCGACGAAGCUUUCUGAGACAGAGACAGAAAUAAAACAUGGGGGAGAAAACAAAAGGCUUUGUGCCAGCGCGGUCAGAUGACACUCCGAAAGUCAAACUGCCAAACUGUCCGGGAACUACAUCCACCACUGAGAUAGCAAUGGCCUGAGCAACCAGGGUGGAGGAGCCCUCGUAGCCCAC
This is a long non-coding RNA of Siniperca chuatsi (mandarin fish), 592 nucleotides long. RefSeq lists it as uncharacterized. The record is from RefSeq and is a predicted model, not a curated record. NCBI's taxonomy places the organism in Eukaryota, Metazoa, Chordata, Actinopteri, Centrarchiformes, Sinipercidae. The transcript is spliced from 3 exons.